Molecule: unclassified non-coding RNA, 318 nt
Filed under: Acinetobacter marinus
Lineage: Bacteria; Pseudomonadati; Pseudomonadota; Gammaproteobacteria; Moraxellales; Moraxellaceae
Description: Long range pseudoknot
Source: RNAcentral
ACUGAUGUUGGUGACUAUAAUGUGAAACUACGUGCGAUCACCAAGUUCCUUGAAGAAGGUAACAAAGUGAAGAUCACAUUGCGUUUCCGUGGUCGUGAAAUGGCGCACCAAGAUCUUGGUUUGGCACAAUUACAAAAGAUCGAAGCUGAUGUGGCAGAGAUUGGCGUAAUUGAGCAAGCGCCAAAGAUGGAAGGUCGUCAGAUGGGUAUGCUCAUCGGACCAAAGAAAAAGAAAUAAUCCAUUCUUUUUCCAUAAAAACGCAGUUUUUAGACUGCGUUUUUUAUUGUUGAAAUGAAAAAUUUACUCUGAAAAGGAAUA